UUAACUCAAAUCUGUGUGAACGUUUGCCUACGUUUGCCGCUAAGGGCGCUGUUUCAACUGCAUACAAAUUUAAGUUA
RNAcentral lists this microRNA precursor (77 nucleotides) under Bombyx mori (domestic silkworm). RNAcentral describes it as "mir-2807 microRNA precursor family". It matches the Rfam family "mir-2807 microRNA precursor family". The record is from Rfam by way of RNAcentral. Lineage: Eukaryota; Metazoa; Arthropoda; Insecta; Lepidoptera; Bombycidae.